CUCUCCAAACAAAGUGGGUUUCACCUUUCAGUUCUUGAAUCUUCAUUAGUUCACGUCGUAAGUUUUCUUGGUGCUACCUCUAACACAAAGCAUUAAGUGUGCUAAUAAAAUGUUAUAGGUUGCUGCCCUGUUUU
Molecule: long non-coding RNA, 134 nt
Organism: Telopea speciosissima
Lineage: Eukaryota; Viridiplantae; Streptophyta; Magnoliopsida; Proteales; Proteaceae
Exons: 2
Source: RefSeq, a predicted model, not a curated record